Molecule: non-coding RNA, 940 nt
Filed under: Pseudorinelepis genibarbis
Lineage: Eukaryota; Metazoa; Chordata; Actinopteri; Siluriformes; Loricariidae
Description: partial 12S ribosomal RNA
Rfam family: Bacterial small subunit ribosomal RNA
Source: RNAcentral
GGCUUGGUCCUGACUUUACUAUAGGCUUUAGCCCAAUUUAUACAUGCAAGUAUCCGCAUCCCAGUGAGAAUGCCCUCAAUCCCCCGCCCGGGGACGAGGAGCUGGCAUCAGGCACAAGCCCAAGACGCCUUGCUAAGCCACACCCCCAAGGGAAUUCAGCAGUAAUAAAUAUUAAGCCAUAAGUGAAAACUUGACUUAGUUAGGGUUAAGAGGGUCGGUAAAAUUCGUGCCAGCCACCGCGGUUAUACGAAAGACCCUAGUUUAUAGAAACGGCGUAAAGGGUGGUUAAGGGUAACUAUAAAUAAAGCCAAAGACCAUCAAAGCCGUCAUACGCUUUCCGAUGGCUCGAAGUCCAAACACGAAAGUAGCCUUAAUAAAUUAUGCCUGACCCCACGAAAGCUAGGAAACAAACUGGGAUUAGAUACCCCACUAUGCCUAGCCCUAAACCAAGAUGUAACUUACAAAACUAUCCGCCAGGGGACUACWWGYACAGYUUAAAACCCAAAGGACUUGGCGGUGCCUCAUACCCACBUAGAGGAGCCUGUUCUAGAACCGAUAACCCCCGUUCAACCUCACCACCUCUUGGUUUUUCCGCCUAUAUACCGCCGUCGUCAGCUUACCCCAUGGAGGGUAAAACAGUAAGCAAAAUGAGUCUAACCCAAAACGUCAGGUCGAGGUGUAGCGUACGAAGUGGGAAGAAAUGGGCUACAUUUUCUGUAACAGAAUAUUACGAAUAGUGCCCUGAAACACAGCACCUGAAGGAGGAUUUAGUAGUAAAAAGGAAGUAGAGUGUCCCUUUGAACUAGGCUCUGAGGCGCGCACACACCGCCCGUCACUCUCCCCUAAAAUAAACUACUAAACAUUCCUAAUAAAACAUAAACAAUAACGGGGAGGCAAGUCGUAACAUGGUAAGUGUACCGGAAGGUGCACUUGGAAUAAC